RNAcentral lists this unclassified non-coding RNA (173 nucleotides) under plant metagenome. Its description in RNAcentral is "partial contains 5.8S ribosomal RNA, internal transcribed spacer 2, and large subunit ribosomal RNA". The record is from RNAcentral.
GAAGAGGACCGACACGGCCGCCGCCAGGCCGAGCUGACGGGCCCCGGCGAUGCCGAUCUCGUAGGCCAGCAUCGGGAAGACCAUCGUCGCGUCGAGCGGGCCGCCGCGGGUGAGGACGAAGACGAAGUUGAUGCUAUUCGCGGUCCAGAUCGUUGACAGCAUGGUGGUGACGA